ACUCCUACGGGAGGCAGCAGUGGGGAAUUUUGGACAAUGGGCGAAAGCCUGAUCCAGCAAUGCCGCGUGAGUGAAGAAGGCCUUCGGGUUGUAAAGCUCUUUUGUCAGGGAAGAAACGGUGAAAGCUAAUAUCUUUUGCUAAUGACGGUACCUGAAGAAUAAGCACCGGCUAACUACGUGCCAGCAGCCGCGGUAAUACGUAGGGUGCAAGCGUUAAUCGGAAUUACUGGGCGUAAAGCGUGCGCAGGCGGUUUUGUAAGUCUGAUGUGAAAUCCCCGGGCUCAACCUGGGAAUUGCAUUGGAGACUGCAAGGCUAGAAUCUGGCAGAGGGGGGUAGAAUUCCACGUGUAGCAGUGAAAUGCGUAGAUAUGUGGAGGAACACCGAUGGCGAAGGCAGCCCCCUGGGUCAAGAUUGACGCUCAUGCACGAAAGCGUGGGGAGCAAACAGGAUUAGAAACCCAGUAGUCC
Molecule: ribosomal RNA, 468 nt
Filed under: uncultured organism
Description: partial 16S ribosomal RNA
Rfam family: Bacterial small subunit ribosomal RNA
Source: RNAcentral